UCGAUUUUGGACCCCCUUCAGCGUUUUCUUGCUCGCCAGUCCCACAAAUCGCAAACUCGGUCCAAAAUCGAGCUCAGAUCGUGGCAGCGUCGUCCUCCCUUGUCCUUUUUCUAAGCCAAUCGUACAAACGAGACAGGUGUUGCGAUCUUGAUAGCUCAAUCGUCCUUCUCAAGAGAUUAAGCCUUCCAAAUCAAUUUUCCGUCGGAAUUAGUCUUAUUUUCAAAUUACUCACAGUCCCGCAUCGACUCUAGGCUGUGAUUUUCACAUUUCUCAACUCCUAUAAGUAGGCCCUUCUCUUCACUGUUCAAUUUUUGGAGACUAAAGAGUGCCCUAAAGGUUUUGGGAAUUCUUUGUUCCAUAGUUCAAAAUUUUGUGGCUGUUCG
RNAcentral lists this unclassified non-coding RNA (383 nucleotides) under Hevea brasiliensis (rubber tree). Lineage: Eukaryota; Viridiplantae; Streptophyta; Magnoliopsida; Malpighiales; Euphorbiaceae. The record is from RNAcentral.